RNAcentral lists this long non-coding RNA (2185 nucleotides) under Aotus nancymaae (Ma's night monkey). RNAcentral's name for it is "lncRNA (ENSANAG00000038544.1)". The record is from RNAcentral. Lineage: Eukaryota; Metazoa; Chordata; Mammalia; Primates; Aotidae.
AGAAUAUUGAGUCAUUUUCCUGUUACCAUUUUUACUUAAAGAGCUAAAAAGUGUAAUAAGCAAUAUUCAUUUGACAAUGGUUAUGAAAUGACUUUAUAAAUUCUGUGUGUUUUUAUUUCAACAAAAAAAAUUUUUUUUUGCAAUUUUUUGGUGCAGUACACACUCAGAAGGGCUAAUGUGCUUGGUGUCUAAUCUGCUGAUAUUACCUACGUUGGUCUCUUUUAUACUUUAGUAUAUGUCUGUGGGUCAGGGAGAGCAUGAUGUUUGUUCUGUCUUCCAGCUUUCAAAGUUUUAUUUCCCAAAGCACCAAAGAGUAAAUAACUUAGAAGAGGAGAAAAGCCUGCCACCGUGUCUUACUAAUGAAGAGGAUCUUGGCUGUUUUCAGGAUGUUCUCCACAAUAAGAUACAUCAGAAAGGGAUGUCGGGUCUCGUGUUGAUGAGCAAGCUCGCCAGAACACGGUACCAUGCACGGAGCGCGGGCUCAGGCCGUGGAGUCAGGCAUGCUGGAGUGCUCUUUCGAAGCUCAGGCACCACCCACUGGGCAAACUCAUGGAUGCUUGUUCCGGUGUGUUCCUGUCGAGAGCUUAUUGGGAGUGGGAACUCAGACAGCUCACGGAGCCCUGCUGACCAUUAUCUUCACAUUCAGGUCUGCGUUGUGGGAGCUGCUCUCUAUUUUCUCGCUUAGUGAACACUCUUAAUAAAAGAAAAUGUUGACAGCUUUGUGUUUCUUGAGAAUCACUAAGGAAACAUUUCAUCUUGUCAAUCUCCUUUCAUGUGCUGUGCAGGAAAAGAGAAUGGGAAUAUUGCUUUGGAGAAUAGCCUUGACUUUCAACAUGCAUUUAACAAUCAGUAUUUUCUUGAGUACCUACUAUGUGUUGGAGUAUUUGCUAGUCAUUACCAGUCAGACAAAGAUGAAUGUAGUUAAGUCCCUGUCCUUAGAGAGAGCUUAACAUAUUUUCAUUUUACAAUCCAUUGCCUCGUUAGAAGGGCUAUAAAAGGGAUACAGAUGAAGUAAUAAGGGAAUUUGUAUCAUUUGAACUUCUUCACGUGGCUCACUCCAUGGGUUCUGGAACUAGGCAGAUCUGAGUUUGAACACUAUCGCCCAUGACAUUGGCUGGCACAAUGUAUUUUAAGCUACAUCUCCAUUUCUCUCAAUUUUUAAAUGAGGAUAAUGACACCUACCUUGUAGGGCUGUUGAAAAUGAGUAAAUGAGAUACUGUGUGUACAAUGUAAGGCAGUGCCUGAUACUAUGGUAAAAAAAAAAUAAAAUCAGCCAAGUGUGGUGGUGUGCACCUGUAGUCUCAGGUACUUGAGGCUGAGGCAGGAGGAUUGCUUGAGCCUGGGAGGCAGAUGUUGCAGAGAGCUGAGAUCACAACACUGCACUCCAGCCUAGGUGACAGAGGGAGACCCUGUCCAAAAAAAAAAAAAAAAAAAAAAAGCUUCUUCAGCUGUGUUGUAGCUCUGGUAUGUAAAGAAAUUUAACACAUGGGAGUGACCAUAUAACUGUGAAGAUUUUUUUUUUUAACUAAUUUUUAAAAUUUACAUGCAAGUGAUUCUUGAUUUCUUUAAAGAAUGAUAACACAGGAGAGGUGUUAUUCAGAGGCUACCCACCAAUAUUUUGGCCUUUCUCUUUCCAGGAACCUGGCAUGGUCACACUUCUCCAACCCCUUGGAAGGUGGGUAUACCAUGUGACUUUAUUUAACUAAUGGAAUGUGAGCAGAAGUGACUUGUGUCACUUCCAGGAGAAAGCUUCUAAAUAUUCCACUUGUACUGCCACCACUAUUAUGGAAGUGAAUGUUGAGAUGGGGCUUGUGUCAGCCUAGGCCCAUGAGAUAUCACAAGGAAUACAGUCCCUGUGGUAAUCCAUGUGAAAAGUAUAGGAGGGGUGAGAAGUGGAUUUUUUAUUUUGCAUUGUACCAUUGAGAUUUUGCAGUCCUCUCUUCAUGGUCUGCCUAGACUAACAUAGGAGAUUGCACACCUAUUGCAACAAUUAUGUCUUUACUUAAACCAUUUAAGGAUUCUUCAGGUGGUAUUGCUGUCAAGGGCAGUAUCUGACAACCACGCUCUCAUUGUAAAGCCAUACUUGCUUUCUGCCCCAUAGUAGUAUUGGCAGGCUUGACUCUCUGUUUUAUUCAUUAGAUUUGACUCUGCAUCUGGUGAAAAGAAUAGAUUGACUAUCAUUGAG